RNAcentral lists this ribosomal RNA (487 nucleotides) under uncultured Pelotomaculum sp. RNAcentral describes it as "bacterial SSU rRNA". It matches the Rfam family "Bacterial small subunit ribosomal RNA", at positions 897 to 1382 of the family's 1533-position model. The record is from RNAcentral. Lineage: Bacteria; Bacillati; Bacillota; Clostridia; Eubacteriales; Desulfotomaculaceae.
AAACUCAAAUGAAUUGACGGGGCCCGCACAAGCGGUGGAGCAUGUGGUUUAAUUCGACGCAACGCGAAGAACCUUACCAGGGCUUGACAUCCCCUGACCGCGUAUGAAAGUACGUUUUCACCUUCGGGUGACAGGGAGACAGGUGGUGCAUGGUUGCCGUCAGCUCGUGUCGUGAGAUGUUGGGUUAAGUCCCGCAACGAGCGCAACCCCUACGUUUAGUUGCUAACGCGUGAAGGCGAGCACUCUAGACGAACUGCCGUUGACAAAACGGAGGAAGGUGGGGAUGACGUCAAAUCAUCAUGCCCCUUAUGUUCUGGGCUACACACGUGCUACAAUGGCCGGUACAGACGGACGCAAAGCCGCGAGGUGGAGCAAAUCCGAAAAAGCCGUCCACAGUUCGGAUUGGAGUCUGCAACUCGACUCCAUGAAGCCGGAAUCGCUAGUAAUCGUGGAUCAGCAUGCCACGGUGAAUACGUUCCCGGGCCUU